CAUUUCUCGUGGAUGAAAUGUACACAUCGCUGAAUACUAGCUCACUCCCUUCCAACUCUACUAGAAGAGGUAUGAUCCUAUUUAUCUUUCUUCAUUGGUGUGAUUUUACUUGAGAUAACAAUGUACUAUUGCGGUAUCCUUGGAGUUAACAAACAGCAUAAGAAAACAACUGAGUCUUGAAUUCACACCUUGUUGUAUCAAACUACUUUGAUUGUCAAAUGCAGCAGAUCAUACCCCCACAAUCCAACCCCCCUAUAAAUACUGCAUCACUCCUCUCCUUCACUACCACACUAAUCUACACUUACUUUAACUAUUAUCUACUAUAAUGUCUUCUGAUCAUGCAAGGUCUUCCAUUGACGCUGGACUGACAGCAAACGGACCAUUCCCAAAAGAGUGUUUCUAUUGCCAUUCUAGAUUCAAUCAAGCAGAGGAUAUAUUUAGGUACAGGUCACUUGCAUUCUGCACGAAAGAAUGCCGUGACAAACAAAUCGACGUGGACAAAGCGAACAAAAGGCCGGACUGCCCCUUUUGGCAGGAUAACUAAGCACUUGGUGUCAAUAAGAACCUAGUUUCUAGUGUUGUAAUAGUAGGAACUUAGCACAUAGUCUUAAUAAGAAGUGCAAAUCCUAGUUCCUAAUGUUGUAAUAGUAGUAUUAUUGAAUGCUAUUUGCAGAUCAGACUACUGGGACUAUGUCUAGUAGCAAGACCAUUUCUAUGUAUGUUUUAAGUUUGGUAAUAAAAGUUUGGCACUAUAGUUUUUGCA
Lycium ferocissimum is the source of this 763-nucleotide long non-coding RNA. RefSeq lists it as uncharacterized. The record is from RefSeq and is a predicted model, not a curated record. NCBI's taxonomy places the organism in Eukaryota, Viridiplantae, Streptophyta, Magnoliopsida, Solanales, Solanaceae. The transcript has 2 exons.